This is a long non-coding RNA of Sorex araneus (European shrew), 2624 nucleotides long. RefSeq lists it as uncharacterized. The transcript has 3 exons. NCBI's taxonomy places the organism in Eukaryota, Metazoa, Chordata, Mammalia, Eulipotyphla, Soricidae. The record is from RefSeq and is a predicted model, not a curated record.
ACAGGGAUUUCUGGGGUGAAGCCUGCGGUGAUCUCCUGGCUUGAAGGAGGAGCCCUAAGGUGGGGUAGAAGAGGCAUGUGUGCAGAAAGGAAAUCACAGCUUCAGGGGAUUUCACUGCAACAAUUUGAUUUGGGAAUUGAGUCACCAAAAACGAUUUCUUUUCACAGAGACUAUAAAGGAAUGGAGCAGUAAUUGGAAUCCUCCUGUGCAUUGUACAAGGAAGCAGCCAACCCCAGUGGAAUGUCUCUGAUCCUGCACUCUGUGACAAUAUCUCCAAGUCAGCAAUCCCGCCCUCUGCUCCAUGGGGAUGCUGAGAAAGGCUAAUGUCUUCUGAGGGAUAUCAGUGUGGAGAGAGCGACCUCACUGUGAAGAACCUCUCACCUGGGAAAAGUUCCUCACAGUCUGUUCUCCUCAGUUUCUGGACACAAACACCUCAAGGCAGCAGCCCCAGGAAUGUGGGAGAGGAGCACUGUUUAUAGUGAGUCCCACAUUCCGACAUUGGCAUAAGGAAAGUCACCAUGUACUGACCCUGUCCAAGAAUAAUGUUCCCUUAGAAACCUACAGUAGACAGAAUCCCCAGGAUCGUUACCAGGGAGAACAAACUUUGAGGCAGGUAUCAUCGCAGUGUGUCAGUGCAAAGAUUCCAAACUGGAGAGAAACUGUUUAUGUUUACAGACUGUGGGAACGCUUUCACUUCCCCCUCAAAACGUAUUAUACAUCAGAGAAUUCACACUGCUGAGAAACCUCAUGCAUGUGAGCAAUGUGGAGAGGCCUUUACCUUGUCCUCACAACUUGAUGGCCUCAGGGAAAUUCAUACAGGAAUGAAAACUUACUCAUGGCAGGACUGUGGGAAGGCCUAAACUUGCUCCUCUGAUCUCUUUCAUCACAGAAAGAGUCAUUCUGGAGAGAAACCUUAUUCACGUCAGGACUGUGGAAAGGUCUUUGCUUAUCACUGAAGCCAUUCUGUGCACAAGGAUAAUCACACUGGAGAGAAACAGUGAUUCUGUAAGACAUAUGGAAAGGCCUUCACUUGAUGGGCAGCCCUUAAAGGGCACAUGAAUACUCAUUCUGGAGAGAAGUCUUAUAUAUGUCAGGAGUGGGGGAAGAACUUUAGCAGAUCCUCAGUUCUUAGUAUACAUAGGAGAAUUCAUACUGGCAAGAAACUUCAUAAACUUAAGGCAUGUGGAAAGGCUUUCAGUGAUUUAUGAGCCCUUAAUAGGCAUAUGAAUACUCAUACUGGAGAGAAGCCCUUUGUAUGUCAGGAGUGUGGGAAGACCUUUAGCAGAUCCACGUAUCUUACUGUACAUAGUAGAAAUCCCAGCCUUAUGUAUGUCAGGAGUUUUGGAAGGCCUUCAGCAUGUCCUCCUAUCUUUCAGUACAUAGGAGAAUUCACACUGGAGAGAAGCCUCAUAAUUUUUAAGUUUGUGGAAGGGUCUUCACUCAGCAGUCAAUCUUUACUCAGCAUAUGAGAAGUCAUACUGGAGAGAUGCCUUAGUAGUGUCAGGAAUGUGGGAAGGCCUUUAGCUCAUGCUCAGUGCUCACUGUACAUAGGAGAACUCAUUUGGGAGAGAAGCCUUUUGUAUGUCAGGAGUGUGGGUAGAUCUUUCUCAGAUACUCAGAGCUGACUAGACAUAAUAGAAUGCACACUGUCGAGAAACCUUAGAAACGCAAGGCAUAUAGAAAGUCCUUCAUUUGAUCAUCUUCCCUUAUAACACAUAUGGGUACGUACAGUGCAGAGAAGUCUUAUGUAUGUCAGGAGUCUGGGAAGGCCUGACAUUCAUAAGGCAUAAUACAGUAGUAGGAUAGCCUUAACACUUACGUGUACUCAUAGGAGAAUUCACACUUGAGAGAAACCAUAUUAAUGUAAGGACUGUGAGACAGCCUUCAUCAGCACCAGUGAUUUCAUACUAGAGAGAAAUUGAAUGUGAGAAAUGUGGAAAGCGUAUUAUUUCUCAUGCCUUUGUGUUGGGGCUGGACUGAGCUAUCAGGGUGAGCCCAUGUAUACUGUACCGUACUACGGACAGGAACAUAGGGACCCAUGAAAAUGGGCGAGACUUCUCGUGUGUCCUGACUGGUUUGGAUGAAGCUGAACAUUUUCCCCCUUCAAGCUGCCUUCAGAAAAAUAAUUUCAGAAUACUGAAAAGAGCAGAUUUUCCUUCUCUCACAGAAGCCUGGCUGGUCUUUGACAUGCAGAUGGUGUUAGCCAGGCCUGACCUUUGAUAUUGUAAAUUGUAGAUUUCAGGUGCAGGCCCAGCUUUGUCUUUGGGAUGCAGAUUUCAGGUGCCUGCCCAGUUUGUAUUUGAAGUGGCAAGCACAGCCUAGUCUUUGGGAUGUAAAUCCAGGUGCCUGAAGAAGGUUUCAGUUUCGGUUUUGUAUCCAGGUGCCUGUAGGUUUCAGUUUCGGUUUUGUAUCUUUCCCUUCUCAGUUCUGUAUUCUUUUCCCGAGGCUAUAGGCCUACCCAUACAAGGAAACAAUAUGUUCCAUUGUCUCAAUGUUCUCCCUGUAACAUUUUUUGAUGCCUUUGGUGAAGUCACUAUAUUGCGCCCUUUAGAGGUACCAUGAUCAAUAAAAGGAGGUCCACGAGGCCCUCUGCCUUUGCUAAGAGCCAGAGCGAGCCUUAGUCC